Molecule: ribosomal RNA, 429 nt
Filed under: Gemmatimonadota bacterium
Lineage: Bacteria; Pseudomonadati; Gemmatimonadota
Description: Gemmatimonadetes bacterium partial 16S ribosomal RNA
Rfam family: Bacterial small subunit ribosomal RNA
Source: RNAcentral
UAGGGAAUCUUCGGCAAUGGACGAAAGUCUGACCGAGCAACGCCGCGUGAGUGAAGAAGGUUUUCGGAUCGUAAAACUCUGUUGUUAGAGAAGAACAAGGACGUUAGUAACUGAACGUCCCCUGACGGUAUCUAACCAGAAAGCCACGGCUAACUACGUGCCAGCAGCCGCGGUAAUACGUAGGUGGCAAUCGUUGUCCGGAUUUAUUGGGCGUAAAGCGAGCGCAGGCGGUUUCUUAAGUUUGAUGUGAAAGCCCCCGGCUCAACCGGGGAGGGUCAUUGGAAACUGGGAGACUUGAGUGCAGAAGAGGAGAGUGGAAUUCCAUGUGUAGCGGUGAAAUGCGUAGAUAUAUGAAGGAACACCAGUGGCGAAGGCGGCUCUCUGGUCUGUAACUGACGAUGAGGCUCGAAAGCGUGGGGAGCAAACAGG